GAAUCUCUUCCCCAUCGCUAUUUUCUCACCACCUCACCGCCUCCGACCGCCCACACCUCAGUAGUCAGUCCUAAGGCCGAUUCUCUCACGCCUAAACCUAAGGCCGAUUCUCUCACGCCUAAACCUAUGGCCGAUUCUCUCACGCCUAAACCUAUGGCCGAUUCUCUCACGCCUAAACCUAUGGCCGAUUCUCUGCAUUACUUCUAAAACUAAGGCCGAUUCUCUCACGCUCUCAGAACAUCAUCGACUUAAUUUCUGCUAUUCUCUCCGCAUUCAGCAGUGCACCACCGUCUGGACCCGCCGGCGGCAUUCUCGUCUUUGUCAGUGGCAAUCUCCAGCGAACAACACCCCCUCAAGACAUUGAUCACAGAUUACAAAUGCACUCAUCUUUGGUACAAAGGCUGUCUUUAGAAAGAGAAUUAGAGGAACCCGAACUUGUUUAAGUUGCAGAGGAUAAUUAUUAUUCAUCAUCAAAAGAGAAGAGAAGAAGAAAUUAAAAAGGUUCAAAUGCAAGCUGAAAGAACUCAAAUGCAGGUUCAAAUGUAAGCUCAAAUUGCAAGCUUGAUGAAUGAGUUGCGUCGCAAUGGCAUGUUAUCCAAUCCAAGUACUCAAGCUCAACAUUCGGCUAAUUCAAAUGAUGAAAUCUUAGGAGAUGAUUAAGAUUAUGUUUAUUAAUAUAUUUGGUACUGGUUCUAAUGAUGUAACAUUAUACUACAACACUUUUGUUGUUGCUAUUCACUUUGAAUG
Ipomoea nil (Japanese morning glory) is the source of this 747-nucleotide long non-coding RNA. RefSeq lists it as uncharacterized. The record is from RefSeq and is a predicted model, not a curated record. NCBI's taxonomy places the organism in Eukaryota, Viridiplantae, Streptophyta, Magnoliopsida, Solanales, Convolvulaceae. The transcript has 4 exons.